Monomorium pharaonis (pharaoh ant) is the source of this 2518-nucleotide long non-coding RNA. RefSeq lists it as uncharacterized. The transcript has 10 exons. The record is from RefSeq and is a predicted model, not a curated record. Lineage: Eukaryota; Metazoa; Arthropoda; Insecta; Hymenoptera; Formicidae.
AGUGCGCGCGCCGCGCGCGGAAGCGUCUCUCAACAACCGAAUGCUACGCCAGUGCUACCCUCGUACCUUGCCUGCUACCUUCGUUCAUUUCACGGCUGGAUCUUCUAGAAGAAGCAUUCGAGUUGUUGGAUGCAUCUCGUUUGUCCACGGAGAGUGUUGGAUUCGUAGAUCCACUCUCCACGUGUCUCCUAUUGAGAAGCAGCCGCUAAGUAGCUCACGCUUAUCAUCGCAAUCGUUUUAAAAAAGAUGGGAGAGUAGAUUGCAACCUGUUUCAAAUUUCUCUUCAAAUUAGGCGUUAACAAAUGCAUCAUCAUCUUACUGUUCAUGGUGCUUAUUAUCAGCAAUGGAUAACAUGGAGCCAUUGGAAUGUUUGUCAUAAUAUUUAAACCUCUGACACGGUUUCAUGUUAGAGUAUUUUUCUGCCUGUAUUCACAAAGCCUGUAUUUUUACGAUGGAAGAAGAUUCAAAUAUCGAAUGUUCAAAAGCAUUGUUACUUCCUGUGAAAAAAAACAAACCAGGCCAGCCAGUCCGCAGUAAUCAAAGGCUUGAAAUUAUCAAUUUGUUCUAUAAGAUGAAGGAAAUCAAUCCAAAUAUUUUCCAGAAAGAUGCUGCUGUAUUAUCAAAACAAACGGGUAUUAAUACUUAUACCAUAAAUAAAAUAUUGCACGAAUAUAAAAACACGGGUGCAAUUAUAUCCCCCAAUAGUAAGAAACGUUGCCUAAUUUUUCGAGAAAAAAUCAAUGAAUGUGACAAAGACGCUAUUUGGAAAAAAAAUUUACGAAUUUUAUCCAAAAAAAGAAUUGCCAACGUUGGCAAAAGUUUUACAAAGUGUAAACGCUGACAACGAUCUCCCAAAUUUUAAACGAUCGAAUUUUUACUUGCUUUUAAAAAGAUCUAAAUUUUGAAUUUAUUUAAAGUAAAAGCAAAGAAAUACCAGAAACUCUGGUAAGGGCCGAAAUGUUGCAAAUUGUUUUACAACAAAAAGACAAGUUUAAUAAAUAUAUUGUAGACGAAAUAGCAAAACAGGAGAAUAAAAUGGUUCUUCGAUUACCUCCAUAUCAUUGCGAAUUAAAUCCAAUUGAAAUGGUAUGGUCAUUGGUUAAGGAAUAUGUCAAGAGUAAUAACAAAACAUUUAAAUUACAAGAUAUAAAGAUAUUACUUGAACAAAGUAUUGCCAGAGUAACAGCUGAACAUUGGAAGGAUUUUAUUAAACAUACCAAAGAAAAAGGGGAGAAAAUGUGGGAGAUUGAUUAUAUAGUUGACGUAAUGAUUGAUGAGAUACCUCUGUCAAUAUUUAAUAUUAUGGACGAAACAGAUUGAUAGCGAUUAAUUUUCCAAUUUUAACACAAAAUUUGAAAAGGUAUUAAAUGACUUCACGACAAAAUUAUGUUUUGUACCUCACUUUUAAAUGAACAUUUCUAUUUCUUUGGUAUGUCAUAUCUACAGAAUAUAGAAAGCGAUAAGCGGAUUACGAUGUGUCACAAAAUUUUCUCUUCACGUCAAGCAUUCAUAAAGAGAUGGAAGAGCGAAUUACAAACGAAUCUACUACAAAUUCCUUCUUUAAAUUAGACAUUAGACGUUCACAUAGAGGUUUAUCUAUAGAAUGGAUGAAAGCAAAUCUUGACCAUAAAAUGAAGUAAAAUUAGAAUUAUAAAACAUGAGAAGCCUGCACAGAGAUGCGUUAUGCGUUAUAAGUGAAAUAUAGAUUCCUGAAAUGAGUUAUUAUUCCUCAUAGUUUCACCUAAUAUCCUUCAACUCUGUAAUAAAUUUCCUGUAAGACACAUCUACAAAGGAUCAAGAUUGAACUUUGAAUUCAUUCAUUACAGUUUUUUAUACCAAUCACUCAUCAUUUCUUAUACAUCAAGAAUGCAAUUGAAAGAUAUUAACAUUUAUUGCUGCUUGAUUGCAAUUAUAAACUGGACAUCAAGAUGGCAUCUUGCUAAAAAUAUUUAUUUGCAAUGCAGUAAUAAUGGGAUCAUGUGUGUGGUUUGUACAUUUGAUGGUAAAUGUUGAAAACCAAGUGGAUAAUAUUUCGAGUAUAAUAUAUAGAAAUAUGAUGUUGCAAAUGAUAUACGCUAUCCUGACUUUUCUAUGAUUGAUUGGUUCUUGCCUUUGCUGAUUUUGUUGCUAAAAGAAUUUAAAAAACGAAUAAAAAACAAUCUUAGAAUUUAUUUUGUUACGGAUGCACACACAUAUUUAACAGUACGACUGUUUGUAUUUAUAUAGAUACUAUUUGAAGAUGUACAUGUGAUUUUAAUAAUAGUAUUGGAAACGGAUGAGACUACAUUAGUCCCUGAACAUCACCUAGAACUAUCUAAGAAGUUAUGUGACUCCCACUAAGUUGUCAGAUCUAACCUUGCUUGUACUGUUGUGUACUGGACGUUAUGAGACUGCUUGAAGCAAUGGAUAAAUACUAUAAAUUAUUUGUGCAUUUUGUUUGACUUGAAAAAUUUUCCACUUUUUCGGAGAAGAAAAUAAUGAACAAGCUGAAAUGAACAGUAAAUAUAUUUCAUACAAA